GACGAACGCUGGCGGCGUGCCUAAUACAUGCAAGUAGAGCGCAGUGGCGAACGGGUGAUUACCGCGUAGGUACCUGCCUCAUGGCGUAGGAUAACUAUUCGAACCGAUAGCUAAUACCGCAUACUGUGAGCUGGACCUGCGUUGUAUUGGCUAGUUGGUUAGGUAAAGGCUCAACAAGGCGUAGAUACAUAGCCGACCUGGGAGGGAGAUCGGGCAAGACGGGACUGAGACACGGGCCAGACUCCCACGGGAGGGAGCCGUAGGGGAACUUCGGAAAUGGACGGAAGUCUGACCGAGCAACGGCGAGUGGGUGAAGAAGGUUUUCGGAUCGUAAAGCUCUGUUGUUAGAGAAGCGGUACCUAACCAGAAAGGGACGGCUAACUACGUGCCAGCCGCCGCGGUAAUUC
RNAcentral lists this ribosomal RNA (407 nucleotides) under uncultured bacterium. Its description in RNAcentral is "partial 16S ribosomal RNA". It matches the Rfam family "Bacterial small subunit ribosomal RNA", at positions 28 to 526 of the family's 1533-position model. The record is from RNAcentral.